UACGAAGGGGGCUAGCGUUGUUCGGAAUUACUGGGCGUAAAGCGCACGUAGGCGGGCUAUUAAGUCAGGGGUGAAAUCCCGGAGCUCAACUCCGGAACUGCCUUUGAUACUGGUAGUCUAGAGAUCGGAAGAGGUUAGUGGAAUUCCCAGUGUAGAGGUGAAAUUCGUAGAUAUUGGGAAGAACACCAGUGGCGAAGGCGGCUAACUGGUCCGAUACUGACGCUGAGGUGCGAAAGCGUGGGGAGCAAACAGG
RNAcentral lists this ribosomal RNA (253 nucleotides) under uncultured bacterium. RNAcentral describes it as "partial 16S ribosomal RNA". It matches the Rfam family "Bacterial small subunit ribosomal RNA", at positions 524 to 776 of the family's 1533-position model. The record is from RNAcentral.